CAUGGAACCGUCCGUCAUAAUCUAGAUCCUGUGUCGUAAGCUAGGUGGGCCUAGUAGCAAUCCAUUGUAUAAUGAAAUGGUACCUUUGGGAUCAGGACAAGUACAUUUGGGAUCGUGUCUGGAAGACACAAGCAUAUUGGAUAAACGUGGCAUUCACCUUUGCUGUGCCAACGCCCGUCCUUCAACUCACACCUAGGACAGCAGGGGGUGGAGGAGGGGAAUGUAUGACCUGUUUUCCACCGGCUAGAACUCACUGCAGAGGAAAGAGUUGACAGCUGGACUGACAAAAAGCUGGUCCUGUGCCUGCCAGGCAGUUUCUUUAUUUGGCCACCUGGUGCUGAGACAAGUCAGUGAAAUGGGGAUGGGUGGCGGGGGGGGGGGGGGGGGGGGGUAGAGCACAGUGGCAGAAGUGGAUCCUAAGCACGGGACAUGUAGCAUAAACUUCCUGUCAUCAAGUCUUACCUCGCUACUGCCAUUGAAACUUGAUAUUAUCCAUCUCUUUUCACUAGCAUAGAAGCUCCAUGAGUAUAGGUAUUUUCGUCUUUUGUUCAUCGUCCACCACCUGGAACGAUGCCUUGCAUAUAAUACGGUUUCAACAAAUGUUCAUUGAAUGAAUGAGUGAAUGAAUGAAUGAAUGAUAUGAUAUGAUUUGUUUAUGCAGCCAUCAAUAUCAAGAGGGCAGUCUGGGUGGGAGAAACAGCUUAUGCAGGGACCAGAAGGCAAGAAUUUACAGGCAUUGCUUAAGGAAUAAUGAUUUUUUUCCUUUAGAAUAAUUUGACUUGCAGGCUACUUUUUCUACAGAACCUUCAGUAAACCUCAUUGUACGACAGCUUACAAUCCGAAUGUUUUCAAAGGGAUGAAGGUGGAAUUCAGCCCGUAGGAAUUUCAUUUUGGCACAUACCAAAACUUUGCCCAACUUCAGAAAGGCUUCCAGAAUAACUCCUACCACUCCCUGACAGAACAUAUGGUGUCAUUAGACGGCUGAAUUGGACAAAAUACCCUGCUAUGAAGGGAAACCUAUCCUUUUCUUGUAUCACUCAACUUAGCUGAUACCAUUUCUCCAAACACACUGAUUAUUCACUUCUCCACAUUGCCUGGGCUAGCAAUUCCUUAGGCUACUAAUAACAGAACUUUAAUAAGGAUAAUCAAAAUAAUUUUUAGGGUUAAAAAAUUAAACACACAAGAGAAAAUCCAAGCUUCUAUAACUUAACUGUUUUCCAGAAUCCCCUAGCAGACGAUAGAUGUGAUAAGCCAUAGUAAAUUCUUUCAUGACAGCGUCUGUCAAAUGUUCUACGGCCUUGGAACAGAUCUGUCUUGUAUUUAUUUUUACUCAGGGACUACAUCUUCGGCAUUGUUCAGAAAUACCAGGUCAACUUGCAUUCCUUAAAGAACUACAUUUCUGUCAAAAAUUUAGCACACUGGCUCGAGACCCAUCAUCUGGUAAGAAGCAGAUUCUCUGUCCUCUAGGUUGGGUGGUGUUCCUCGAGUGGAGUUUGAGAGCUUGUCGGCCCUCUUGGAGGACGACGGGAUUGUUGACCUCCUGUAGCUAUGCCUCUGUUGGAGGCUGUGCUUUCAAACUGCCUUCCUCCUCUCUGGGCCCUUCUCCCUACCUGCCCCUCCUGUUUAACUCAGUUAAUUAAUCCCCAGGGCUCCUGAGAAGACUUACCACAUCUCCCCUUCCAUUCACCUUUUUGCAAGGCAGGAAGUACAAAUGAAUGUUGGCUAGAAUUGAUCAAUCCCGGGGUUAUUUCGUGAUGUAAUUCCAGACCCUUCCAAUAGAAAAAUGAAGUGGAAGGUUCUGAGGCCUUUAGCAGCCUAUUUGAGUCAGAGGUAUGGCAAAAUAAGACGGAACAAGGAUGAUAGGUAAGCUUUUAACAUUUCUCCAAUAGGAAGAAGUGCAUCUCAUCAUUUUUAUGGCAUUGGAUGGACAUUAUUGAAGCAAUAGCAUAUCUGUGUAUACCACACACGUUCUUAUGUACUUUACUUCAAAGGGAAAACGCAUGUCACUGUAAUGUGCUUAUUGGUUGGUAUGAUUCUCUUUACUUUGGCUAAGGCCCUAAAGAACAAAGGGCCAUCCUUCUGUAGCGAGGAGCCGUCAGUGGAUCAUUCAGCAUGGAAUAAUAAUUUCUUUCUGCAGCUAGAGCACUUGUGUGUAUUUUCGCUUGGUUACGUAAACUACUCUGGAAAUAUAAAAGUAAUUUGUAAAGGCAAAUUGUCCACUGUUGUUGCAAAGCACUCUGUGGGGCAAGCACAUAGCUCCUGCUUCCUGCCUAAGCGUUCUGAACAGAGACCUCCAAGAUCUCCAACAUUUAGAUCAAUCUGACUUUGUUUGUGGGUUUGGUUUGGCUGUGAGACAAAUACCUAACUUUUCUUCUAUUCCAUUCCUAUACCUCACAGACUGGAGGCAUUUCUCUUAAGCAAUAAAUAUCCACAUAGGGUUUUGUUUAUCAGUCAGUUGAACAAAUGGAAAGAUAUUGUUGGUUACUCAGUUACUUAUUAUUAACUGGCUUUAUUGUUAGACAUGGAGGAUAUUGUUAGUCAUGGACACACACACACACACACACACACACACUCAUGUCCAUUUUAAAGCUUUAAUGCUAGAGGUGAAUGUAGGGCUUUUGUAGUUUAAUUUAUUUUGCAAAUGGGGAGAUUAACUCCAACAUGAUGUAAAUUAUUUGCCCAAUGCGGGGUGCCUGGGUGGCUCAGUCGGUUGAGCAACCGACUUCGGCUCAGGUCACGAUCUCAUGGUUUGUGAGUUCGAGCCCCGGGUCGGGCUCUGUGCUGACAGCUCAGAGCCUGGAGCCUGCUUCGGAUUCUGUGUCUCCCUCUCUCUCUGCUCCUCCCCCACUCAUGCUCUCUCUCUGUCUCAGAAAUAAAUAAACAUUAAAAAAAAUUUUUUUAAUUAUUUGCCCAAUGCUUUAGAACUAAUUGGCCAUAAGGUCAGAAUUAGGACCCAGGCUUCCGGACUCCAGUAGUGUUUUUCUCCAAUCUAUGGGCAGGGAAAAUGGAAACCAUGACCUCAGAUGACUUAAUUCUUCAGAGAGCCUUCUUACAUCAUGAUGUUAUUAGACCAAUAAAGAUACAAGCAUUCGUUCUUAUUAUUGUCUCUCCUUUUUUCAUCUCUGCUUUUGGAUGUAUCUAAGUAAAUGUCCUCAGGACAGCCAUCAGAUUGUGGCUCCCUUCUUAGAUAUUGGUGGUAACAGCAUUCAAGGUUUAGAAUUUAAGGUAUAUGAGAUCCAGAAAUAUUCCUCCGGUAAGAGACUUUUGUAAGAAAACACAAUGAUUUUUGAUGUAAUAACUGUUAACAUGGCUGUUAUCAAACUUGACAACACACUAGUAAAAUUUCUACCUAACCAUAUCACCCAGAUAUUCAGUCUUCUUUGCAGAACAGGGCACAUUUGUAUCCAUUUUGGCCAUUUCAGAAACAUCAAUAAUUCUGAGUGUAACCAUGCUCAGUUUCCCUCAGUCAGAGAGUUGAUAGGUAUUUAAAGGUUGGGAAAUAUUGGGGGGUGGGGGAAAGGGAGGCCAUCCUCAGAGCUUAAGUGUAAACUUGACGGAGAGACAGAAAGACUAUUAGGAUAGACACCAAAAAGUUAAAGGAGAGUACAUGGGUGUGCAGACAUUAUUGUCCUUCGCCAACCAUCACGUUGAGUUUACUUAUCAAAAGUAAAAGAGCGGGGCACCUGGGUGGCUCAGUCAGUUGAGCGUCUUGAUUUUGACUCAGGUCAUGAUCUCACAGUUGUGGGAUGGAGUCCCGCAUCUGGCUAGGCACUGAAGGAGGAGACUGCUUGGGAUCCUCUCUCUCCCUCUCUCUCUGCCCCUUCCCCACUCACACGUGCUCUCUCUCUUUCAAUAUACAUAAACAAGCAUUCAAAAAAAAUUGAAGAGAAGGGCCAUCUACAUUCAAGGAAUAUUCUAUCCUUAAACUUCAAGAGGGGCGCCUGGGUGGCUCAGUUGGUUAAGUGUCCAACUUCCAACUUCGGCUCAGGUCAUGAUCUCACAGUGAGUGAGUUCGAGUCCCGCGUUGGGAUCUGUGCUGACAGCUCAGAGCCUGGAACCUGCUUCGGAUGCUGUGUCUCCCUGUCUCUCUGCCCUUCUCCUGCUUGCACUCUGUGUCUCCCUCUCUCUAAAUAAAUAAAUAAACAACAACAACAACAACAAAACUUCAAGAAAUAAAAUAUAUGGUGGUUGUGAAUUUAAAGAUCUUGGUGGCUAUGUUCUCAGAUGGUAUUAGUUUUGUUCAUACUAGGCUAUCUUUGUGAUUGCUGGGAACUUUCCAGAAAAUGUAGUAUUUAGGAAUUUCAGUAGGUCUUAUCUAUUUUCUCAUGAAAGAGCAGAUUAUGGUUAUUUCUUCAGGCAUGUAUGUUACAUCCUUCUAAAAAUAAACUACAGAAUUUCCUGUUAUGUAAAACAUAUAUAUUAAAAAGGGAGAAAAAUCCUUUUUCCAGCUAACAUUUUUCUGCUCAAACUUGUAUUUUUUCCUAGGCAUUCAUUCCUUUAUUUAUAUACUAAUUAAUUCCCCCCAAAAAGACAGUUUACCAUCGAACUAUGCUCUUCUUUAGCAAUAGUUAAAUCUCUAGUUUAUGAAAACCAGAACUUAUAUAAUCAGGCAAGAAUAUGUAACAAACCAGAAAGACUGAUGUGAGUUAGAGUUUGGAACUAGUUUUGGAGAUAGUUUUAUCAGAACAUCUAAAGCACAUUUUAGCACAAGACUCUAACUCCCGUUUUGUGAACGGAGAGGCACUCCACGUGUCAUUAAUUUUCCUGAAAGACAUUUCUUGCCCUAAAAUUUAUUUCUCUACCUCUCCGCUUUUUCCAACAGGUUCAAGAUGCUGACUUUGUCAAUAGUGUGGGGCCUGAGAAUCUGCCUUAUAAGAGAGCACCCUGGACAUUUCUAAACCAGGCUGCAGAGAGACAGGCACUCCCCAAGGGAAAUAGUCUCCUAACUCUUCUCCUCAAAA
RNAcentral lists this long non-coding RNA (4961 nucleotides) under Lynx pardinus (Iberian lynx). The record is from RNAcentral. Lineage: Eukaryota; Metazoa; Chordata; Mammalia; Carnivora; Felidae.